This 774-nucleotide ribosomal RNA is filed under the name uncultured Pseudonocardineae bacterium. RNAcentral describes it as "bacterial SSU rRNA". It matches the Rfam family "Bacterial small subunit ribosomal RNA", at positions 8 to 796 of the family's 1533-position model. Lineage: Bacteria; Bacillati; Actinomycetota; Actinomycetes; Pseudonocardiales. The record is from RNAcentral.
AGAGUUUGAUCAUGGCUCAGGACGAACGCUGGCGGCGUGCUUAACACAUGCAAGUCGAGCGGUAAGGCCCUUUCGGGGGUACACGAGCGGCGAACGGGUGAGUAACACGUGGGUGACCUGCCCUUAGCUCUGGGAUAAGCCCGGGAAACUGGGUCUAAUACCGGAUAUGACUCCACGGUGCAUGUCGUGGGGUGGAAAGCCUUGUGCGGCUGAGGAUGGGCCCGCGGCCUAUCAGCUUGUUGGUGGGGUGAUGGCCUACCAAGGCGACGACGGGUAGCCGGCCUGAGAGGGCGACCGGCCACACUGGGACUGAGACACGGCCCAGACUCCUACGGGAGGCAGCAGUGGGGAAUCUUGCGCAAUGGGCGAAAGCCUGACGCAGCGACGCCGCGUGAGGGAUGACGGCCUUCGGGUUGUAAACCUCUUUCAGCUCCGACGAAGCGGAAGUGACGGUAGGAGCAGAAGAAGCACCGGCCAACUACGUGCCAGCAGCCGCGGUAAUACGUAGGGUGCAAGCGUUGUCCGGAAUUAUUGGGCGUAAAGAGCUCGUAGGCGGUCUGUCGCGUCGGCUGUGAAAACUCGGGGCUCAACUCCGAGCUUGCAGUCGAUACGGGCAGGCUAGAGUUCGGCAGGGGAGACUGGAAUUCCUGGUGUAGCGGUGAAAUGCGCAGAUAUCAGGAGGAACACCGGUGGCGAAGGCGGCCCUCUGGGCCUGUCCUGACGCUGAGGAGCGAAAGCUGGGGGAGCGAACAGGAUUAGAUACCCCAGUAGUCC